CCUACGGGAUGCUGCAGUGAGGAAUCUUGGUCAAUGGGCGCGAGCCUGAACCAGCCAAGUCGCGUGAGGGAUGACUGCCCUACGGGUUGUAAACCUCUUUUGCCGGGGAGCAACGGGCGCCAAGUGUGGCGCCACUGAGAGUACCCGGAGAAAAAGCAUCGGCUAACUCCGUGCCAGCAGCCGCGGUAAUACGGAGGAUGCGAGCGUUAUCCGUAUUUCUUGGGUUAAAAGGGUGCGUAGGCGUAUCGGUAAGUCAGUGGUCAAAUUGAGGGGCUCAACCCCUUCCCGCCAUUGAAACUGGCGCUCUUGAGUGGAAGAGAAGUAUGUGGAAUGCGUGGUGUAGCGGUGAAAUGCAUAGAUAUCACGCAGAACCCCGAUUGCGAAGGCAGCAUGCCGGCUUCCGACUGACGCUGAAGCACGAAAGCGUGGGGAUCGAACAGGAUUAGAUACCCUGGUAGUC
This 460-nucleotide ribosomal RNA is filed under the name uncultured bacterium. RNAcentral's name for it is "partial 16S ribosomal RNA". It matches the Rfam family "Bacterial small subunit ribosomal RNA", at positions 338 to 795 of the family's 1533-position model. The record is from RNAcentral.